This 458-nucleotide ribosomal RNA is filed under the name uncultured bacterium. Its description in RNAcentral is "bacterial SSU rRNA". It matches the Rfam family "Bacterial small subunit ribosomal RNA", at positions 954 to 1392 of the family's 1533-position model. The record is from RNAcentral.
UUGCCCUCCCCCCACCGACUGCUAAACGCGAAGAACCUUACCAGCCCUUGACAUGUCAGGACGACUUCCAGAGAUGGAUUUCUUCCCUUCGGGGACCUGAACACAGGUGCUGCAUGGCUGUCGUCAGCUCGUGUCGUGAGGUGUUGGGUUAAGUCCCGCAACGAGCGCAACCCUCGUCCUUAGUUGCCAUCAUUUAGUUGGGCACUCUAAGGAGACUGCCGGUGAUAAGCCGGAGGAAGGCGGGGAUGACGUCAAGUCAUCAUGGCCCUUAUGGGCUGGGCUACACACGUGCUACAAUGGUGGUGACAGAGGGCAGCUAGACGGCGACGUCGUGCUAAUCCCAAAAAGCCAUCUCAGUUCGGAUUGCACUCUGCAACUCGAGUGCAUGAAGUUGGAAUCGCUAGUAAUCGCAGAUCAGCAUGCUGCGGUGAAUACGUUCCCGGGUCUUGUACACACCG